Long non-coding RNA from Lemur catta (Ring-tailed lemur), 341 nucleotides. RefSeq lists it as uncharacterized. NCBI's taxonomy places the organism in Eukaryota, Metazoa, Chordata, Mammalia, Primates, Lemuridae. The transcript is spliced from 4 exons. The record is from RefSeq and is a predicted model, not a curated record.
AUGCUCCAGAUGGUUCUCUUAUAGAAAGACUUCCGUCUCAUGUUCACACUUGUUCCAUGCAUCUAACUCUCAGCCAGGCCCUGAAACAGAACACUGGCAGUUGCUAUGAACAAGUGUCUGGAAUAUGUUCCUGGCAUUUCACCUACACUCUCUCUAAUCCUUCCAAGAAACCCACAGAGUAGGGCUUUGUCUUGAACUUUUCUUCCUCACAACAGUUAAAUCAUCCAUUUAAAGAUGUCAAACAAUCUCAGUGUUCUAAGGACACAGCAUGUGCAACCUCACAUGGAGUCUCUGACCAGACCAGACUUGCCAGAAAUUUCCUAGGAUCUCCCUUUCCUAAG